This 2546-nucleotide long non-coding RNA is filed under the name Ooceraea biroi (clonal raider ant). RNAcentral describes it as "uncharacterized LOC105288075". Lineage: Eukaryota; Metazoa; Arthropoda; Insecta; Hymenoptera; Formicidae. The record is from RNAcentral.
GUAUCUGGAACAAACAAACUCGCGAUGAGAGAGAGAGAGAGAAAGAGAGACAGAGGAAGAAAGAGUGAGAGACAGAACAGGAGCGAGAGCGUAAGGGAUGUCAUGGCGAACGCGGGGGUGGCGGCCGCCCGCGGCAACUCUGUGGUCCUAGGUCAGCAACAGUGUCCUUCGUGAUGGCCGAGAAUUCAUUUAACGCCGCGUCAGUGUCAACCCUCGCGCAAUAAAUUGCCGCUCGACUCGGCUUUUGCCUCACCAAGGGCGCGUUCAGCUUCUCAACCUGUGCUUCGCAAGUGUCAAAUCGAAUUUCUCAACCCUUGGGCUGUCGACAAGGACUCGAAGAGGCUUAGUUCUCACUUCUUGAAUCGCAGUUCGCAACUCCCAAAUCUCCAAGCAAACUUUGGAUCGCCGUUUCGCUGCUUUUGCCUGUUGAUUCUUGCUUCAUGUUGUCACGAAGUUGCGAGGAUGGUGACGUCCAAGUAACAAAGAAAUGCCUCUAUCAUGCGAACGUCAGAACAGUCUUUGCCGUAUGUAAAAUUAUGUUGACUAAUUAAAACGGAGGAGCAAAAAUAAAAUGAGAUAAUGAAAUAAUUUCUUUGCAGUUACUUUAUACUUAAUUGCUUUAUAAAAUACUUUCCCCUUUCAUGAAAAAAAGGAUUCUUCAAAGUAAUAUCUUCCUAAAGCGAUAUUUUUAUAAAUUCAAGUCUUGUUAAUUCAUGGUAUGCUUUGGAGAUGAAGACGUGUGAUCUGGUUUCAAUUCAGCUAUUCAGAAAUUAAUGUCUCCGCUUUCUAUCGAGCACUUUUGUUUAAGUGAAUCUCUUUUCGAGCGCAGCUGAGAAAUAUUGCAGGACGGCGAUGGGAGGAAAUGUCACCGUCAAUCUUGCGCGUCGAUCGCGGCCACGACGGCGUUCGCGACGUGCGGAAUGCUAUAAAUAGGAAUCCGCUUGUGAGAGCCACGAUCGAGUGCGUCAGCUGAUCACAUAUUGACAGUUCGAUAAGUUGCCGCGCGGAAGCAUCGUUCAACCGUCUAAACUGCUCCUCGCGCAAUUAGUCGCGCCUCGGCUGGGACGAUGGAAUCUUGACUUUCACAGGAUCGAUCUAGAAAUGUUCCCUUCUUUUCUUUUUUUUUUUAACGAUGGCAUCGCCAGCGGAAACAAGGACGUUGGAUAGAGAUUCCAUCGCGAUAAUAUUUUUUCUCAAAGAAACGUUACGUUUCCCCAUUGUUUUUUAUGCUGAUCACGCUGCAAAUUUAAAGAGAAAGGAAUAAUGAAAAAUUUGCAAUUGUUAAAUUCCAUUUUAGAAAUUAUGAACAUUUUUAUAAAAAAUAAAAAACAAAAUUGAUGAAACUAGAAAUAUUGGAAUAAAAUUAUUUAACAUAACGAGUCCUUCAGUAUAAGAAAGAAAUAAUUAUUUAAUAUUUUACCAAUAAUGGAAAAAUUUUUUUCUUAAUCGACUACGAUUGAAUUAUGAUUGAUGGAAGGCAGAUCGUAGAUCGUGGACAAACCUGUUCGUCGAACUUGGGGGCGGCUUAGGAAACGUGACUGGGGUGCUCCGCCGAAGGAUCGACGCGUGAUCGAGGACCGAUUUCAGGUGGCGGCUCGCCCCGGAGUCAGUUUCGUGACAGAAAAUUACGAAAAUGGUAAUUAGGCGCAAGCCAGCAGCAACGGCGACGUGCCGGCUACGGCUUAUUCAUACUUCGUAGCCAUGGCGAUCCUGCACUACUGAUAAAACAACAGUACACACCAUAAUGUACUUACGCGGAAUAGGGGGAACACCUUGCGUACCGGGUGUCACGAAAGUCGCGCACGAACGUCACCGAAGGAUGCGCGCUCAGAUGGCAACGUCGGUUUUCAUAUCAAAAGAAAAACACACUUAAUUUUGUAAUGUAAAAUGCCAUCCGAGAUCAAUCUGGUCCGAUUAAUGCUUGUCAGCGCGGGAAUCAAUAUUUUUCUUAAGCGCCGCGAGAGCCUCCCUUAUCUGGUCCCUGGUCCUGGAAUAUGAAGGGCCGUUCCCGGGGAUGAAGGGUAGAAUCGCGCGCGCUGCCCUUAAGGGUGCUGCCCUUCUCGGAUAAAACAGUCGUGGAUAGCAAUGGCUUCGGUGUUGCCGCGGCAUAUGGCGAUCUGAUGCGCGCUGCGUUUUUAUUGAGAUUCGUGAGCCAUAUGUCGGCUAUCCUUGAACGCGCUUUAAUUAGAUGCAAACAAAUCGGGAUAUCCUUGGACGUUCCCCUUCCGACAAAUAACACUUUGGACUAGAAUGCGAAGGGAAUUAAGGGAAUCCUUUGGAAAAAGCUCUGAAAGUUCCUCGGAACGGCUAUUGUUGUGGAAAUUUAUUCAGCGAAAGAAUUGGAGAGCAACGAGGAGAAUAAACGCCCACGUGCGUGCACUAGAUAAGGGGCGAUAACGGGUCAGCCACCCGGUAGAUAUCGCGGUCGAAAGUCUGGUUGGAAGAUCGUUCGAUUGAUAGAAAUCUCGAGUUAUGAAAUUGUAUGAUUACACGUUACUAAUCUGCCUUCGAAAUUUCCGCUGGAGGGGGGGGGGGAGAAUGCUUAA